GAUUCCACCCAUGAGCUCUGGGCAUGUCAGGCCCUUGCAGGCAAACCUGCAGGCAUCUUUUGGAGUACCGGUUUCCAUGGAGGAGGUCAAGAGAAUACAGCGUACGUCGCCUUUUAUUUGUUUUAAAAAGAGAUCACAUGUUCGUAUUUUAUUUGUUUUAGUUCUUUGUUGCACAAUAGGGAUUGAAAUUGUAGUCAUUCCAGUUCUCCAUUUUAAUUACAUAGGCAUCACUAUUACAAAAAAAAAAAGGCAUAAACGUGUGUGGUUAAUAGCAUUUACGUAGAUGUCAAACACUUUUACUGAAUUGUUUUCAUCGGAACUCUGGUCAUCACGUGAACUGUCUACCGCAGCUCGACUAGAUAAAAUUAUCUGAUAUCUGAGUAGUUCCUUCAUACUGUUUCCUCAUAUCUGAUAUCUGAGUAGUUCUUCAUACUGUUUCUUUAUUGCAGAUUAACUGCCAUAACACAGUUAGCACAUCAUGGUAUGUUAUAUGUUCCACUGGGUUAUACAUUUGGGAAUGGCAUGUUUGAGAUGGGUGAGGUGAAGGGUGGUUCUGCAUAUGGUGCUGGAACUUAUGCCGCGGAUGGAUCUCGUGUACCAACAGAGUUAGAACUCAUGCAGGCAUUUUACCAGGGUAAGUAUGUUGCUGAAAUAUCAAAGAAGCUCAAGGGUCAGCCUCCUGUGGUUUGACAUCAAUUAUUUCAAAAAGGGGAUAUACUGUGUAAAGUCUACUGCAGAGUAUAAAAAAGAGUAAACAUUGUUUCAAAAAUAAAUAAAAAUGUAAUAUAAGUGAAUUUGUAGAUGUUCUAUUACAUAAUUACUUCCUGUGCAAAAGCAUGACAGUUUUUUUUCCUAUUUGUACUUCCUACAAUUCAAUUGUCCGGGUAGUUCUUCUUCAAUUUUCAUCAUCAGUAGAGUUUCCUCAUAGACUACAGGGAUAGACAGGAAUGACGCAUAAUCUUGGAUAAAAACCCUUGCCCUUUUGUUCUCAGUGUGGUAACAGACGAUGAAAGGUUUACCUCAUGUGGAUAUCUGGGUCGUGCCGUUAGCAGAAUCUGACCAUCCUCAAGAAGGUGCAGUGGUGAUCUAAAAACAAUAGGCGUAUCCUUUACUAUACGGCUGUCGAUGGAAAACAAUUUUGUCCAACACUCUUGUUCCUUGACACCAAAAUUUUCCAUCCUCCCUAUGUUAUUCAAAUGGAUACCUUUGCCAGUAGAAAAAGUACACAGAUCACCAUUCAAAGCGCAGUCUGACCAAUGUUCCAGUGGCCAUGGGAAGCCCCUUGAGAUCAAAAGAUAUGAUAGACCUGUCAUCGUCUAUUUCCGCCAGAUGAUGUAAGUUGUCAUAGGCGAGUAUCAUUCCUGCAGGAAUGCCAGAAGAAUACAUAAAGGGGAUGUUUGGAAGUAUUGUUUUUCCAUGAAUUGGUGUGUAGUAUACAUAUUAACUUUAAAUUCUGUUAACUCUGAAUCUCCUUGGACUGAUUCUAAAAGUAGCACUUUGUAAUUGUUGUUAUCAGUGGUAGGAUCAUGUCCAAAGCCAUAUAUAAUAUUCUCAUGACCCUUGUAGGAUUUCAGUCAAGACUCAAACUACUCAAGACAGACAAUUCAGCCCAUUGUGUUAGCUAGCCAUUUUUAUCAAACAGGUUCUUACAAAAGGUCACUCACAAGCAAUUCAUGACAUUUUUUUUUUCUUUUGGUAAAGAAUUCAUGACAUGUGUUCAGACAAUGGAGCCGAGUAUUACCAGCUCCAUGCCUUCAUUCAUAUCAUGUGUUCAGGCUUUAGGUGUGCUCAAGCUGAUGGUGGAUGAUAUAUCAUAUCAAGAUUUACCUCUCAGUCAGUUUGUAUGCUGUACAUGGUCAUGGAUUGGUUGCCUGCUUUGGAUUUUGCGAACAAAACAAACCAAUGAAACACCAUUGAUUUUUUGCCACGUCUACUUCCUAACAUUUAUCUGUUUCAUAAUUCAUUAUUGUAUAAACUACUAGCUUCUGUUGAGUUACAGAACAAAAGUCCCUCCAUCUUCUUCUUCUUCUUCUUCUUCUUUUUGUUCACCAUAUAUCUUACCAUCAACAAGACCAGCAAGACAACGUAAGCUAAAGAGGUAAGUUUCUCAUGGAUUUCUCCAAUCAUUUCAUGCAAUUUAAUUAGUUCCUUUGGAAAUAUAUGAAUUUUCUUUAAUUUAAUAUACUUUGGCUUCAAAUAAGAUCAUGUAUGAAAUUUUUUAAAGCAAUCAAACACAAAUACAUAAUCACAAUUUGUAUGAAAAUUUAUCAAGCUUUGUUUCUUCAUCUGAGUUUGCUGUUUGUAUACAAUUUAGGAUUAACAAGUCAAAUUAGCUUUGCUAAAGGCAAGCCAAUAGCCAUGACUACAACUACAACAACUAAGGUCUAUGUCAUGUAAGCAAAGUAGUAGUACUAUUUUCUUUUUGCAAGUUGUUAUUAAUUUAUAUUAUAAUAUCUUGUGAUUCUACUUGUUUGGCACUUUGGCCUAAAACUAUGGUAAAAUUGUGUGGCAGUUACUAUUCCGUGUAUGGGCAUGUUGGGACAAUGGCGCGAGAAAUUCAGCGUGGUGCUAAUAGUGUUAAUGGUGUCGAAGCCACUCUAUGGCAGGUAACUUUGUUUGGUUUUUGUGGAGUUUAUUAUAGAUUGAUACCGAUUUGAGAGAUCUUGACCCUGCUCUGAAGUUUUUUAGGUGGGAUGUGCAUUUACUGGAAACAGAAUGACCACUGAGCACUAACUUGUACUUUAAUUAUUUGGAAGGAAACAGGUACCUGAGACUCUCCCAGAUCGAAUAUUGAAUAAGAUGAAAGCUCCUCGAAAAGAAGGGGACGUUGAGGUGAUCAGGCCAGAACAACUUGUGGAGGCUGAUGGUUUCUUGUUUGGAUCCCCCUCUCGUUUUGGUAUGAUGGCAUCACAGUUCUUGGCUUUCUUUGAUUCCACUCGUGAGCUCUAUGCAUGUCAGGCCCUUGCAGGCAAACCUGCAGGCAUCUUUUGGAGCACCGGUUUCCAUGGAGGAGGCCAAGAGAAUACAGCGUAAGUCGCCUUGUGAUUUUUUUUAAUUGAAGUUUUAAUACACACAUGGUCGUAUGUUUAAUGGUUUUAGUUUGUGGUUUCACUAGAUAGGGAAUGAAGUUGCAGUUACUUCAAUUCGCCAUGUUACUUGCAUAGGC
RNAcentral lists this long non-coding RNA (3166 nucleotides) under Aquilegia coerulea. RNAcentral describes it as "long non-coding RNA (ACOE_LNC001777)". Lineage: Eukaryota; Viridiplantae; Streptophyta; Magnoliopsida; Ranunculales; Ranunculaceae. The record is from RNAcentral.